CCUACGGGUGGCUGCAGUGAGGAAUAUUGGUCAAUGGGCGCGAGCCUGAACCAGCCAAGUCGCGUGAGGGAGGACGGCCCUACGGGUUGUAAACCUCUUUUGCCGGGGAGCAACGGGCGCCACGUGUGGCGUCACUGAGAGUACCCGGAGAAAAGGCAUCGGCUAACUCCAUGCCAGCAGCCGCGGUAAUACGGAGGAUGCGAGCGUUAUCCGGAUUUACUGGGUGUAAAGGGCGUGUAGCCGGGCUGACAAGUCAGAUGUGAAAUCCGGGGGCUCAACCCCCGAACUGCAUUUGAAACUGUUGGUCUUGAGUAUCGGAGAGGCAGGCGGAAUUCCUAGUGUAGCGGUGAAAUGCGUAGAUAUUAGGAGGAACACCAGUGGCGAAGGCGGCCUGCUGGACGACAACUGACGGUGAGGCGCGAAAGCGUGGGGAGCAAACAGGAUUAGAUACCCGAGUAGUC
This 461-nucleotide ribosomal RNA is filed under the name uncultured bacterium. Its description in RNAcentral is "partial 16S ribosomal RNA". It matches the Rfam family "Bacterial small subunit ribosomal RNA", at positions 338 to 795 of the family's 1533-position model. The record is from RNAcentral.